UACAGAGGGUGCAAGCGUUAAUCGGAGUUACUGGGCGUAAAGGGCGCGUAGGCGGUUUGCUAAGUAAGAUGUGAAAUCCCUGGGCUUAACCUAGGAACAGCAUUUUAAACUGGUAGACUAGAGUACAGUAGAGGGUGGCGGAAUUUCCGGUGUAGCGGUGAAAUGCGUAGAGAUCGGAAGGAACAUCAGUGGCGAAGGCGGCCACCUGGACUGUAACUGACGCUGAGGCGCGAGAGCGUGGGGAGCAAACAGG
RNAcentral lists this ribosomal RNA (253 nucleotides) under uncultured bacterium. RNAcentral's name for it is "partial 16S ribosomal RNA". It matches the Rfam family "Bacterial small subunit ribosomal RNA", at positions 524 to 776 of the family's 1533-position model. The record is from RNAcentral.